Micropterus dolomieu (smallmouth bass) is the source of this 1728-nucleotide long non-coding RNA. RefSeq lists it as uncharacterized. Lineage: Eukaryota; Metazoa; Chordata; Actinopteri; Centrarchiformes; Centrarchidae. The transcript has 2 exons. The record is from RefSeq and is a predicted model, not a curated record.
CAGGCAGGGAGACUGCUUCACACAACAUGGUGGAAACUCAGUUACUUCCAGUCUUUUCUGAGCAGAGUAUCUGACCCCUGCUGCUUUAACUGAAUGCAUCGCCUACAUCUUUCCACCACUUCACAUCCUCAUGCACUGCAUCAAAAGUAAUGCCAGCUGUGGGGUCUUUCUGUGUUUGUUACACUACUGAAUUCAGCACUGCUGUCUCUGUGCACUCUCAUUCUCUUGCCCUCCCAUCUUCAUCGUAAUAUCUUUCCUUUGGAAAGCGCUGUCAGUCUUUGGGUAGACAGACACACACACUGGAAGAAUGGCAAAAACACUGGAGGAAAUAACCUGGAAGCCCAGAAAUAAACAAGGAAACCCCUAAAGCUGAAAAGAAAAAACUCUCUAUGAUGAACCAGCAAACAGGUGAACAAGCAUGCUCAGCGAGGAGAAGCAGCCCCCCACACCGCCACCCCCCAACCAGCUACAGUUUUGGAUUGUUGAAGGAGCCCUCAUUGACUGUAUGGUAUUGUACUUGACCCAGUGACUUUCCUUCACCAACUGGUUCCUCUUAUUAUCAUGUGUUUUUUGGACUGUUAGUCUGUGAGUUGUAGUUGUUGCUCUCUCGCUCUCCCCCUCCCCUCGCCAAUCUGUUCUCAGUUUCACAUUUGAUCUUCUUGAUGUUUGAUUACUUGAAGGGCAGUGUUCAGUCGCCUACAUUUUUCUAACAGUCAUGGAAAAUAAUGGUUGGGGGAAGAAGACAGCAAUGGGGAAGUUGUGAAAUCUGUGUGUGUAAAUCUUUUUUGGGGUUGGCAUGAUGCUAUACAUGGGCAACAUUUUGAGUAUUGUCACAGAUUUGGACAUUUCACUGCAAAUAUAAGAAACUAUUGGCUCCAAUUUUUUUUGCAGAACCUGCAUGUCUACUUACGUUUUUCUCAAAAUGUUGCUGAUGUGUCAUUGCCUGCAAGGAAAUUUCAAAAACCAUUCGGGGCUCUGUCCAUUCCACAGCCAUAUGACAGGCAUUUUUUUACGCUGUUUGUUGCACAAAACUUUUCAAGAAGCCUUCUGCACUGUGUAAAGAGAUAAUGUUCUUAGGAAGGGAGGAAAUAAAAGGUGGGGUGGUCCAAUGGUACAGUCCAAUGGUUUUGAAUCGUGACUUGUAAAUAAGUUUUCAUACAGCAAAAACUUUUUGAUAAUGUUUUAAAUGUAUCUGUAAAAAAAGAUGUACAUAAACCUCUGGGGGGGAAAAGGAGUGUAGACUAUAUAUGAAUUUAUUUGUACACAAGCGCACUGGAUUUAUUUACUACUUGAUUGUAACUAAAAAUUAAUAAUCUGCCAAAGUGUUUUUAUUUUACUUUUUCUCCUGUCUGUUCGGUCUGUUUUUUUGCAUAACAGCAUUGCAGAUUUUUAGUGUUCAUACUGUAUUUAAUUCUGUUUAAUAGAUUUUGUUGUUGUGUGAUUUAAAAAAAAAAAAAAGAGGUUAUCAUUUUAAUUUAUUGGUGCCUUGUUUUGUGCUCCUGUAUACUUUUACUCUUUCUGUUUUUCUGUGUUAUGUGUCUGCAGGAGGGCGGGGGGGUUAACAGCCGGGAUGGUGAGCGCAGGGUGGGGGGAGUUAAAAAUUUAGUAACUUCUGUACUUACAUGGAAUAUCUGUACUGUAUGCCAAAAUGGUCUCACUCACGUUUCUAUGAAAUCAAGCUGUUGAUAAAUAUCUCUAUAUAUUGAUAUAUUAAAUUUAUAAAAACUG